AUUCUAGUCUUGGCUUUCGAUCAUUAAGAUCCAUCUUCAUUCGCCAUCUUCAUGAUCAUGCCCUCCAUGCUUCGUGUCAUUUUCCUUCAAGGCCAAGCUAUUUCCUCUUCCAUGGAAUUACCUACGAAACCAAGAAAACCAUAUUUUAAGAUCCACGUUCAUUCCAAGUCAUGGCAUAUGCAUCAAUUCGAAAACAUUCCAAAAUUACCUACGAAACCAAGAAAACCAUAUUUUAAGAUCCACGUUCAUUCCAAGUCAUGGCAUAUGCAUCAAUUCGAAAACAUUCC
This 287-nucleotide long non-coding RNA is filed under the name Lathyrus oleraceus (garden pea). RNAcentral describes it as "Pisum sativum (pea) long non-coding RNA (PSAT_LNC042281)". Lineage: Eukaryota; Viridiplantae; Streptophyta; Magnoliopsida; Fabales; Fabaceae. The record is from RNAcentral.